RNAcentral lists this ribosomal RNA (423 nucleotides) under uncultured bacterium. RNAcentral's name for it is "bacterial SSU rRNA". It matches the Rfam family "Bacterial small subunit ribosomal RNA", at positions 335 to 750 of the family's 1533-position model. The record is from RNAcentral.
ACUCCUACGGGAGGCAGCAGUGGGGAAUAUUGCACAAUGGGCGCAAGCCUGAUGCAGCCAUGCCGCGUGUAUGAAGAAGGCCUUCGGGUUGUAAAGUACUUUCAGCAGUGAGGAAGGCAGGUACGUUAAUAGCGUGCUUGUUUGACGUUAGCUGCAGAAGAAGCACCGGCUAACUCCGUGCCAGCAGCCGCGGUAAUACGGAGGGUGCGAGCGUUAAUCGGAAUUACUGGGCGUAAAGCGCAUGCAGGUGGUUUGUUAAGUCAGAUGUGAAAGCCCGGGGCUCAACCUCGGAAUUGCAUUUGAAACUGGCAGACUAGAGUACGUGUAGAGGGGGUAGAAUUUCAGGUGUAGCGGUGAAAUGCGUAGAGAUCUGAAGGAAUACCGGUGGCGAAGGCGGCCCCCUGGACAGAUACUGACACUCAG